This 1378-nucleotide ribosomal RNA is filed under the name uncultured bacterium. Its description in RNAcentral is "16S ribosomal RNA". It matches the Rfam family "Bacterial small subunit ribosomal RNA", at positions 94 to 1451 of the family's 1533-position model. The record is from RNAcentral.
AGUGGCGGACGGGUGAGUAAUGCAUAGAUAACCUACCCCCGAGAUGGGAAUAACGCUUCGAAAGGAGUGCUAAUACCCAAUGCCGUCUCAUACCGUAGGGUGUGAGAUGAAAGGAGGCCUCUGAUUCAAGCUUCCGCUCAGGGAGGGGUUUAUGUCCUAUUAGCUAGUUGGCGAGGUAAUGGCUCACCAAGGCUUCGAUGGGUAGCCGACCUGAGAGGGUGACCGGCCACACUGGGACUGAGACACUGCCCAGACUCCUACGGGAGGCUGCAGUCGAGAAUCUUCCGCAAUGCGCGCAAGCGUGACGGAGCGACGCCGCGUGGGUGAUGAAGGCCUUCGGGUUGUAAAGCCCUGUUAGCUACUAUGAAACACGGGCGAUGAACAAUUGUCCCGUUUGACAAAAGUAGCAGAGGAAGCACCGGCUAACUACGUGCCAGCAGCCGCGGUAAUACGUAGGGUGCGAACGUUGUUCGGAAUCACUGGGCAUAAAGCGCGUGUAGGCGGUUCAGCAAGUCAGGUGUGAAAUCCCUCGGCUUAACCGGGGCCCUGCAUCUGAUACUGCUGUGCUAGAGUGCAGGAGGGGAGAGUGGAAUUCCUGGUGGAGCGGUGAAAUGCGUAGAUAUCAGGAGGAACGCCGGUGGCGAAAGCGACUCUCUGGUCUGCCACUGACGCUGAGGCGCGAAAGCUAGGGGAGCAAACGGGAUUAGAUACCCCGGUAGUCCUAGCCCUAAACGAUGGGUACUAAGUAGGGGAAAUUCCGAUAUUUUCUCUGCCGGAGCAAAUGUAUUAAGUACCCCGCCUGGGGAGUAUGGUCGCAAGGCUAAAACUCAAAGGAAUUGACGGGGGCUCACACAAGCGGUGGAGCAUGUUGUUCAAUUCGAAGCAACGCGAAGAACCUUACCUGGUCUUGACAUCCUCGGAACCGUGCAGAGAUGCGUGGGUGCCUUCGGGAACCGAGAGACAGGUGCUGCAUGGCUGUCGUCAGCUCGUGUCGUGAGAUGUUGGGUUAAGUCCCGUAACGAGCGCAACCCUUAUCCUUAGUUGCCAACAGGUGAAGCUGGGAACUCUAAGGAGACUGCCGGUGAUAAACCGGAGGAAGGUGGGGACGACGUCAAGUCAUCAUGGCCCUUAUGACCAGGGCUACACACGUGCUACAAUGGCCGGUACAGAGGGCGGCGACCUCGUGAGAGCAAGCAAAUCCCAGAAAGCCGGUCCUAGUCCGGAUUGCAGUCUGCAACUCGACUGCAUGAAGUCGGAAUCGCUAGUAAUCGCGAAUCAGAAUGUCGCGGUGAAUACGUUCCCGGGCCUUGUACACACCGCCCGUCACACCAUGGGAGUGGGUUGCAAAAGAAGUAGGUAGUCUAACCGCGAGGGGGGC